AGAGGGCAGCAGUUGUGGACUGAGAACCAAGUAACUCUUUCCAGAACAAAGGAGACAUGUCUUAAAGUACCUGGAAAGCUGUGAGUAAAGAGGAAAACUGACGCAUGGAGAAGGCUGUUGGACAUAACUAUCCUCAUCAUGGUGAAAAUAUCAUAUUUCCAACCAACCUACAUGCUUCCAUCUUAGAGAAGGGUUGCUGGACGUGUCAUGUCAAUCUAUGGAAAGCCUGUUAUUUUCUGCCAGAAUAGUAAGGGGACUCCUGCAUGGUAAAGUACAACCAAAAAGAAGACCUGGAAAUCUGAAAAUAUGCAGAAUAACAAUCCAGCAAAGAAUGGAUACAUUUCUUGGAGAAUGGGCAGUAGCUGCCAGUAUCUUUGUCUACUUGUUCUGGCCAUUCUCACUUUGGAGUACUCAGGACUCUGGAUCAAGGCUAAAUGGUGGUGGGAAAGGUGGCCUGCUCCAGAAGCAGUGGUGGGAGUCACUGCACCCGAGUACCUGCCUGUGCUGGCUGCUGCUCCACACGCUCCAGGGUAAGUGUAGUUGCCUGUCAGGCUUCUCUGUGCCCUUAGAAGAUGCAGUUUGCAGUGUGCCCAGUGCUGCAGUGCCCUGCUCUGGCACAGCUGGCAGGGGCCCUGCCCUGCCUGACCCAGAGCAGCAGGGCUGGCUCCCACAGCCAGAUGUGGCACAUUGUGGAGACCAAAAUAUCAGCCAAGUCCUUGGUGUCCUUGGUACUCUCCCCAGCACCUUGACCUGUGCUAGCCAGGGAAGCUGUGAUUUGGCCAUGGCUUGGUACUUCAAACUGCAACAAAUUGCUGCCAAUAAUAAUUAAAAAAGGAG
RNAcentral lists this long non-coding RNA (837 nucleotides) under Zonotrichia albicollis (white-throated sparrow). RNAcentral's name for it is "lncRNA (ENSZALG00000012325.1)". Lineage: Eukaryota; Metazoa; Chordata; Aves; Passeriformes; Passerellidae. The record is from RNAcentral.